CGUGUAGGCGGCUAGGUAGGUCCGUUGUGAAAACUCGAGGCUCAACCUCGAGACGUCGAUGGAAACCAUCUAGCUAGAGUCCGGAAGAGGAGAGUGGAAUUCCUGGUGUAGCGGUGAAAUGCGCAGAUAUCAGGAAGAACACCGUGGCGAAGGCGGCUCUCUGGUACGUGACUGACGCUGAGACGCGAAAGCGUGGGAGCAAACA
This 205-nucleotide ribosomal RNA is filed under the name uncultured bacterium. RNAcentral describes it as "partial 16S ribosomal RNA". It matches the Rfam family "Bacterial small subunit ribosomal RNA", at positions 568 to 774 of the family's 1533-position model. The record is from RNAcentral.